This 484-nucleotide ribosomal RNA is filed under the name uncultured bacterium. Its description in RNAcentral is "SSU rRNA". It matches the Rfam family "Bacterial small subunit ribosomal RNA", at positions 26 to 523 of the family's 1533-position model. The record is from RNAcentral.
AGGACGAACGCUGGCGGCGUGCUUAACACAUGCAAGUCACGGGGGCUCGCAAGAGCAACCGGCGAACGGGUGCGUAACACGUGAGCAACCUGCCGAUCUGAGGGGGAUAGCCGGCCCAACGGCCGGGUAAUACCGCAUACGGUUUUUGAGGGACAUCCCUUAGGAACGAAACCUCCGGGGCAGAUCGAGGGGCUCGCGGCCUAUCAGCUAGUUGGCGGGGUAACGGCCCACCAAGGCGACGACGGGUAGCUGGUCUGAGAGGAUGGCCAGCCACAUUGGGACUGAGAGACGGCCCAGACUCCUACGGGAGGCAGCAGUGGGGAAUCUUGCGCAAUGGCCGAAAGGCUGACGCAGCGACGCCGCGUGUGGGAUGAAGCAUUUCGGUGUGUAACCACUGUUGCCCGGGACGAACAGCUCUUUUCGAGGAGCCUGACGGUACCGGGUGAGGAAGCACCGGCUAACUCCGCGCCAGCAGCCGCGGUAA